CCCAGGCUCUGAUGCCACCGUCACCACGGCAACACGGCCAUACUGGCCCCAACGGACUGAGGGGCCUGGGGCUGCAGGGCUGGGCCGCGCUGGCCUCGUGGGCAGAGCCGGCAGCAUGGACAGCCUCUUCGUGGAGGAGGUGGCCGCCUCCCUGGUGAGGGAGUUCCUCAGCAGAAAGGGCUUAAAGAAGACGUGUGUGAUCAUGGACCAGGAACGCCCACGUUCUGAUCUCAGCAUAAACAGCAGAAAUGAUCUUCGCAAGGUUUUGCAUCUGGAAUUUCUCUACAAGGAAAACAAGGCAAAGGAAAAUCCUCUAAAAACAAACCUUGAACUCAUUACCAGAUAUUUUCUGGAUCACUGUGGAAACACUGCUAACAAUUUCACUCAAGAAACACCGAUCCCUGUGCUCUCAGUUCCAAAGAAAAAUAACAAGUUGCCCCUGAGAUGCUCAGAGACCACACUUGUCAACAUAUAUGACCUUUCAGAUGAAGACGCAGGGUGGAGAACAUCACUGUCAGGAACAGGCAAAGUCAGACAUGACAAUCUUGAUGGGGAUGUACUUGGUAAUUUUGUAUCCUCCAAAAGGCCCCCACACAAAAGUAAGCCCAUGAAGACUGUCCCAGGUGAAAGCCCUCCCUUGGCUCCUACGUGGGAGAAGAUGGAAAAUCUUAAAUCAUUGGAGUCUUCUGUGGACAUGAGGAAGAUGGGAGAGAAGACCAGGCCAAAGUCUGGCCUGAUUGUCCGAGGCAUGAUGGCUGGGCCCAUGGCCAGUUCUCCACAGGAUUCUCUCCGCAAACGCUCCCUGAGGCGGUCCCCGGCCUUGAGCAGCAUGACCCAGCCCCAAGAGGAAGAGAGUCGGAAGGUGCCGGAGCUCUCCACUCACUCCUCUUCCUGUCCAGCGCCGCAGGAGAUCUCGAGCACCAGCUCCAUUUCCAGGAGCCCCCUGGGUCAGCUGAGCGAAGUGACCAUAGACAAGCAGAAAACCACUCCCAGCAGCCCGCCCCGCCUGCCAAGCAAAGGGCUGCCCCAGCGGGAGAGGGGCAGGGUGAGAGACAUUUUUGAGGGCAGCCCAGCAGUGGACGGCAGCACAGAGGCGGACAGGACACCCCUGAAGCUCUACUUGCCUGGUGGGAAUUCCAGGACAACCCAGGAGAGGCUGGAAAGAGCAUUCAAAAGGCAGGGCAACCAGCCCCCGCCCCUCAGGAAAAAUCACUUGCCGGUGUCUGACAAGGCAGAUGAUGAACUGGGUGUCCUGCAGCUUGAGGAUGUGGAGGAUGAAGUGAUAAGGGAAGAAGUCAUCCUGCCCCCAGCACCAUCAAUGCUCAAGCUGCAAAUAGUGUCAAAGCCAAUCGACCUUUCAGUAGCGAAGGAAAUAAAGUCCCUUCUGUUUGGUUCAACCUUUUGCUGUUUCAAUGAAGAAUGGAAACUCCAGAGUUUUUCCUUUAAUGACACAGCUUCGUUAAAAUAUGGCAUUGUGCAGAACAAGGGUGGUCCCUGUGGGGUUCUGGCAGCGGUCCAAGGCUGUGUCCUACAAAAGCUGCUGUUUGAAGGAGAUAGCAGAGCCGAUUCUGCUCGGCAGCUGCAGCCUUCAAACACCCACAGGACCCACUGCCUGACCAUGGCUAUUGCGGACAUUCUGUGGCGGGCUGGGGGCCAAGAGAGAGCCGUGGUCACACUGGCUUCGGGAACACAGCAGUUCAGUCCAACGGGGAAAUACAAAGCAGAUGGAGUCUUAGAAACACUCAUGCUCUACAGCCUGACCUGCUACGAGGAGCUUGUGACAUUUCUUCAGCAAAGCAUUCAUCAGUUUGAGGCAGGUCCUUAUGGAUGCAUCCUGCUCACCCUGUCUGCCAUCCUGUCCAGGUCCACGGAGCUAGUUCGCCAGGACUUCGACGUCCCCACCAACCAUCUGAUUGGAGCAUAUGGAUACUGCACACAGGAACUUGUCAAUCUGCUCCUGACCGGGAAAGCUGUGUCCAAUGUUUUCAACGACGUGGUUGAGCUGGAUUCUGGGAAUGGGAACAUCACGCUUCUCAAAGGCAUUGGUGCACGCAGUGAUGUGGGCUUCUUAUCUCUCUUUGAGCACUAUAAUGUGUGCCAGGUUGGCUGCUUCCUGAAGACCCCGAGGUUCCCCAUCUGGGUGGUGUGCAGCGAGAGCCACUUCAGUGUCCUUUUUGGCCUGCAGCUGGAGCUGCUUCGGAACUGGAGGACUGAGCGGCUCUUUGACCUGUACUACUACGACGGGCUGGCCAACCAGCAGGACCAGAUCCGGCUGACCAUUGAUACUACACAGACUGUCCCUGAAGACAGAGACAAUGACCUUGUUCCACCCCUCGAGCUUUGCAUCAGGACCAAUGUUAACUGCUUGCACCAUGCAGGAACUUCCCACCCAGCAGAGCCCUUCCUUUCACAGACCAAGAAACCGAGGUCUCCAGAGUGGAGGCUGGUGCCCCAGGCCACAUCUUGAGUCACGAACCAGGCAGGGACUGAGUGGAGGCCCUCGCUAUCUCACCCAGUGGAAGGUCACCGAGCGGGCACUGUGACUUCCUGCCGCCUGGCCUCGUUGCCACGGUGAUGUUGCACAAGAUCAGACUGCUGGUGUUGCCUUCGGAGAAGAGCAUCCUAAUGUGAACCAUGCUUGGAUCCCCAUGCCACCUCUGCUCACGGUGUGACGCAUGUCUCGGCCUCAGAGAGUCUCCCCUUACCUUUGCUUGUGUCAGGAAUGCAGCGUCUGUCCCCUGCCUGCCCUCCCUGCGAUUCCCUCAGCAUCUCAGCAAAAACACACUCAUUUAUGGACAUUUCCAAACAAGACACUCAGUAACCUCUCUCAAGCUUCCAACCUCACUGGAGUGAGAAAGAAUGAGACAGUUGUCAACAGUCCAGAGAAAAGAGGAAAGAACUCAUAACCGGGCCCUGGGGCUGGGGCACAGAUGUUUCUGUUUGGAGGUGCAGAUGAGAGAUUGAAAAUAUAAUUCCAGCUGGGACCGGGGCCGGCCGAGGGGCUGGAGCUGAGCACCCACUUCCCUCCGAGAUACCCCCUGCCUGAGGGGUUGUUCCGGUUUUGUGCCUCUGCUGACACCCAGGAGUCCUGUUCACUUCUCCGCUCCUCCACCAAGGGAGGGUUCCAUGGGUGCUCCAACCACACCAACCAUCCAUGCCAACCGCCCCUCUUCUGACGCCUGCCCUCAGCCCUUACAACACACCUGCCUGGUCUUUCUUUGACUUGGUUGGGUCCCCAGGACGCUGACGCUGUGGUGCAGGGAAAGAGCCUGGGACAGAAGUUUAGAGGUCUCGGCUGAAUCCUGGCUCUGCUGCUGCACGUUGACUGACCCUCAGAAAGUCUGCCUUGCUCUGGGCCUCAGUUCCUACAUCUGUCAGUUGAGUAUAAUGAUCCCUUUCCUGAGCUGGUGUGAGGUUCUGAGAAGAAAUGCUGAAGCAUUCCCUUCCCUUUGGAAGCUGUAAGGGGCUCUACUAGACAUGUACGGGGUGGAAGGGGGCAUGGGUGAACUGGAAUGGCUCAGAACCCAUCCUGUGACCCUUAGAUGUGGGUCAGCCCCAUGGCUACCAUUGCUCAUCUUUGGGGGUGAGAGCUGAACCCCAGGCCUCAGGGACACAUCUCUGAGAAGAGUGUCACCCCCACCUGGAUCAGAACUGCGGCAGAGAAUCUGGAGCUUCUUGCCCUUCUGUGAAGGGCCGCUCAGGACUGGAAGAGGGCCCAGGACGUUGCUGUGGGCGGCCCCCUCCACUGGGCUGUCACUGCCAAAGAAUUGGAAGGAGUGGCUAGGGGCUUUGCUGCCUUUUGUUUGUAUCCCUCCCUUGCUCCUCACUGGGCCAUCCCCUCACCAAGGCCUCUGAUGCGUUCUGUCCUGGGGACCCUGGGCCCUUGUUAUCUUAGUUGUUGGUUUUCUAUAAAACAGGAGUCAAACUCAUGCCAAGUACUGAGACUC
Molecule: RNA transcript, 3947 nt
Organism: Loxodonta africana (African savanna elephant)
Lineage: Eukaryota; Metazoa; Chordata; Mammalia; Proboscidea; Elephantidae
Gene: MINDY4
Gene name: MINDY lysine 48 deubiquitinase 4
Exons: 19
Source: RefSeq, a predicted model, not a curated record